RNAcentral lists this ribosomal RNA (492 nucleotides) under uncultured bacterium. Its description in RNAcentral is "partial 16S ribosomal RNA". It matches the Rfam family "Bacterial small subunit ribosomal RNA", at positions 29 to 507 of the family's 1533-position model. The record is from RNAcentral.
AGUGAACGCUGGCGGUAGGCCUAACACAUGCAAGUCGAACGGCAGCACAGUAAGAGCUUGCUCUUACGGGUGGCGAGUGGUGGACGGGUGAGGAAUACAUCGGAAUCUACUUUUUCGUGGGGGAUAACGUAGGGAAACUUACGCUAAUACCGCAUACGACCUACGGGUGAAAGCAGUGGAUCUUCGGACCUUGCGCGAUUGAAUUAGCCGAUGUCGGAUUAGCUAGUUGGCGGGGUAAUGGCCCACCAAGGCGACGAUCCGUAGCUGGUCUGAGAGGAUGAUCAGCCACACUGGAACUGAGACACGGUCCAGACUCCUACGGGAGGCAGCAGUGGGGAAUAUUGGACAAUGGGCGCAAGCCUGAUCCAGCCAUACCGCGAGGGUGAAGAAGGCCUUCGGGUUGUAAAGCCCUUUUGUUGGGAAAGAAAAGCAGCAGGUUAAUACCCCGCUGUUCUGACGGUACCCAAAGAAUAAGCACCGGCUAACUUCGUG